RNAcentral lists this ribosomal RNA (348 nucleotides) under uncultured Desulfobulbus sp. Its description in RNAcentral is "bacterial SSU rRNA". It matches the Rfam family "Bacterial small subunit ribosomal RNA", at positions 1034 to 1382 of the family's 1533-position model. The record is from RNAcentral. Lineage: Bacteria; Pseudomonadati; Thermodesulfobacteriota; Desulfobulbia; Desulfobulbales; Desulfobulbaceae.
ACAGGUGCUGCAUGGCUGUCGUCAGCUCGUGUCGUGAGAUGUUGGGUUAAGUCCCGCAACGAGCGCAACCCUUGCCUUUAGUUGCCAGCAGUUCGGCUGGGCACUCUAAAGGGACUGCCGGUGUUAAACCGGAGGAAGGUGGGGAUGACGUCAAGUCCUCAUGGCCUUUAUGACCAGGGCUACACACGUACUACAAUGGCCGAUACAAAGGGCAGCGACACUGCGAGGUGAAGCCAAUCCCGUAAAAUCGGUCUCAGUCCGGAUUGGAGUCUGCAACUCGACUCCAUGAAGUUGGGAUCGCUAGUAAUCGUGGAUCAGCAUGCCACGGUGAAUACGUUCCCGGGCCUU